This is a long non-coding RNA of Leucoraja erinaceus (little skate), 1106 nucleotides long. RefSeq lists it as uncharacterized. The transcript is spliced from 2 exons. Lineage: Eukaryota; Metazoa; Chordata; Chondrichthyes; Rajiformes; Rajidae. The record is from RefSeq and is a predicted model, not a curated record.
GCUUCCUUCCUUCCUUCCUUCCUUCCUUCCUUCUCUCUCUCUCUCUCUUCCUUCCUUCCUUCACUCACUCGCUGCUCCCUCGCCGCCUGCCCGCCCGCCUGCCUGCAGCCCAGCCCGGGCGGUACGGCCACAGGGCGGGGGCUGAGCCUAACUUCACCUCCACACCAAACUCCUCCUCAACUCCACUCUGCACCAGCACCGUUACACCAACAUGCACCAGGCAGGCAAGCAAGCAGCUGGAUGGAUGGAUGGAUGGAUGCUUUAACACCAAGCGUUUAUUAUUACACUUUACCGUGCACUAUCUUCACCUAUUCUGUGCUGCUGCUACUGCUACUGCAAGUUGCAUUUGUAGGAGGGUUGGGUGGGAGUUUAUUUUUACGUGCACCACAGCUUCGGACAUACACAAAAAACGCAAAAGGAAGAUAACAAUCUCCAGCGUUCUCCAUGCGUCAGAGAAUCGUGGGAGGGACUCUCUACGUCGACGAUUGGCACAAGCACGGGAAAUUUAAAAUAUUCGAAUAAAUCUCCAAUUUUAGAAAAUGUUACCUUGUUUGAUGAGUUUCACUUGAUGGUUCCUCGUCACCGUGUUACGUCUGUAAUACGUCUGCUUUCAGGUUAUGGAACUACCACUAAAUCUUCAAUCUCCUUUAUGUCACUCGCUCGAAUUUUUGAAUGAGAAGAUGGAUAAGAUGCUACCUGACCCGCUGAGUUACUCGAACACUUUGUAUGUUCGGUAUAUACCAGCAUCUGCAGUUUCUUUCUGCGCUACUCAGUUAAAAUGUUAAAAGUGUGGCGAUUGGUAAAAUCGUGAUACUUUGGCUGUUUUUCUUGCUCUUUUCUUAAUUAAGCUGUAUAAUGUAUCUGUAGAUCAUGACCUCUCUUCAUUUUUAUCAUAAAACGUUAUAGUUAUUGUGAAUCUCCAAAAUUAUAUGUAAGAGCUACAUAAUUUGUGCACGUACGUUAUCAUUAUAUAUUAUGAUGAUGAGGUUUGGAAAAUGUUCUUUCCCAGUCUUUGUCUGGGGAUAAGAUGCAAUCAUAUAUCUCGUGAAAGUAGUUUCUUUCAUGUAACUGUUACAAUGCAAUUUAAGAAUUGUACAACAAUCAAA